AACGAACGCUGGCGGCAUGCCUAACACAUGCAAGUCGAACGAGACCUUCGGGUCUAGUGGCGCACGGGUGCGUAACGCGUGGGAACCUGCCCUUAGGUUCGGAAUAACUCCCCGAAAGGGGUGCUAAUACCGGAUAAUGUCUUCGGACCAAAGAUUUAUCGCCUUUGGAUGGGCCCGCGUUGGAUUAGCUAGUUGGUAGGGUAAAAACCUACCAAGGCGACGAUCCAUAGCUGGUCUGAGAGGAUGAUCAGCCACACUGGGACUGAGACACGGCCCAGACUCCUACGGGAGGCAGCAGUGGGGAAUAUUGGACAAUGGGCGAAAGCCUGAUCCAGCAAUGCCGCGUGAGUGAUGAAGGCCUUAGGGUUGUAAAGCUCUUUUACCCGGGAUGAUAAUGACAGUACCGGGAGAAUAAGCUCCGGCUAACUCCAUG
This 433-nucleotide ribosomal RNA is filed under the name uncultured bacterium. RNAcentral describes it as "partial 16S ribosomal RNA". It matches the Rfam family "Bacterial small subunit ribosomal RNA", at positions 29 to 507 of the family's 1533-position model. The record is from RNAcentral.